GAACCCACACUCCCAUUCAUACUGGCGACAAAAAAAAUCCCCAUUUGCGCAACGAAAACAUUGCUUUUCCGCCCUUUCUUUAUUCUCCGAUAAGAGAAAGUAUGAUCUCUAUUUUUAGCCGUUUCGUCCAAUCUCGCUGUCGCCUUGAGAGCAUUUCCUCCCCGGCGGCUAAUUGAUUUCAGGUCUUGGCUCGAUUUCUAGUGUUUCGAUCAGUAGAGCACGGUUAGAGAAGACCGCCAUGGAUUGGGGAAACGUGAUCGUUGUGUACCCGAUCGAUGUCCUCCACAACUCAGAGUUCUUCAUCCGAUUCACCUUCCCGGAUCGAUCCGACUCCAAAUGGAAUAGUCGAUUCAAGUGCAACCUCUACUACGAAGGACCAAUUACUUCAUUCUGAUCAUGUUCCUUCCGGCCAUGGGGUUUCUUUCGAAGCCUCUUGCCGUUGUUGUUGCCUUUCUCACAGGUCUAAGCAUCCCAUUCUUAGAUGAAAGCUAGUUGCAUCCUUAGACUGACCUCCUGUAGCCUCCUUACAGUGCUUUGGGCACUCAGCAUUGGACUGCUAGGUAACUAUAAUUUAGCAUUUGUCUGUUAUUAGGCAUAAAUAUUUUGAUAAGUCCCAUAUUAAUUGGUUGCAUUGUGUUGCAACAAUGCUUCAUGCAAGCUUCAGAUCACCUAAUUUCGUGCAAUUAUAGUGAGCUAUAAUUAUAGACUGCAGUGAUGAGUAAGUAUCUUUAAAUGUUUCGACGAUUUAUUUUCUUAUUCAGGAUGAAUACUAUCAAAAUUAGAAUGUAUCAUUCAUUAUCUGUUCUUUAUUAUGAAAAAUGUACCACCUUCAUGUAUUCCUUCCUACAUCACAAUUCAAAAGGCCCAGCAUGUGAUAGCUUUCCUGUACAAAGUUACCACUCACAAGUAUUCCUACAUUACAAUUCAAAGGGACCAGUAUUUUAUGAUUAUAAAUAUGCUGAAAGAACCACUAAAAUUUCAAUUGCCAAAAUUUCUCAAACUAUUUUACUUCUAUGCAUUCCCGGAAACAAAACUGAUCUAAACCUUAAGCAUUCUGCCCUCGGAGGUAACAUGUAAAAUAUUCAGAAAUCCUGAAAAUGUUGGAAGUAUCAGAAGUUUACCAAUAGGAUAGCGGAAUCGUGCCAUGUAAAGUUUCAGGUACCAGAGCUGCAGUCACUGGCAUCUCCCCAUCCUGAAAUCCUCAAAAUAUCUCGUCGGGAACCAUUGCCAUUUCCUAGAGGAAUCGUGGUAUGCAAACUUUCAGGUACCAAAGCUGCGGUCACCGGCAUCUCCCAAUCCAGGGAUAAUGAACCUGGUGAUAAAACACAGUAAAUUAAAACUCAUAGCACUCGAACUUGAGAAAUGGAGUGCAUGCUUAUUUGAUGCUAGCAAAGAACCGUAUAGAGUUCUGGUACAUCCUUUUAGGUACUUUCCCUUUGGUGUGGGAAUAGUAAUAAGCACAGUGAUCAGAAGAUUUACUUACCCUUUCUCAUUUACAACUGAAUCUAUCAUUCCAGCAUAUACAUGAAGCCUGGGAAAAAAGACACUUGUAACUGAACUAAUAUGUAAUAGAGAAUUACGUACUAUAGCACUUAUAUCUACUUACCCCGGAAAUUUCUUGCUAAGUUUCUGCAGUGCUGGAGGUGCAACAACAGCAGAUAUCUAUAAAGAGCAUGUAUGAGUCGAUGACACGAGAACCGAAUAUGAAGAUGGAAUAAAACUGAUUGUGCUUUAGGCACUUACGAUUUUUAUUUGCUUGUUGUCAACUCCACGAUCUUUCAACAAGUCAAUGGCUGCAACUAUUGUACCACCUGGAUCACAGAGUUAUGCCAUAAAUCAGGCCACAGGCACAACUGCUAAGCACUUUUGAAGUGCAUAGUUACACUCAAGAAAAAGUCUGCCUUGAGCAAAAGAAGGUAUUAAAGCCAGGAAAAAUUUUAGUCAGGUAUUAAUUUCCCUACAACAUGCUAACAUUGACAAAUAACAGUUGGCCACACAUACAUGGUAUGCUGGAGGCCAGCAGCAGAGCUCACUGGUUUAAUACCUUAUUCUGCUUUUCUGCUUUUCUUCGUGGCCAACUGUUAGAUAGCAGAGAACAACAUCGUGGAAUUGUAUCAUAAAGAGCCUUCCAAAAGAGGUCCUUAUUCUGCUUUUCUUCGAGGACAAAACCACUUACCACCUAACUUCGGAACUCCACCAAUAACAGUGUCAUGAGUCUGCUUGAAUAACUUUAUACCUAUGGAGUUUUAUUUUCUUUGAGAAUGCAUUUUAUGCUAGGCAGGAAUAUUAGGGUGCCAACUGAUACAGAACAGUUGAUAAAUUAUUACAAGUUUAGAAUCAGACUGUGCUUAAGGAUGUA
This is a long non-coding RNA of Musa acuminata AAA Group (dessert banana), 2359 nucleotides long. RefSeq lists it as uncharacterized. The transcript is spliced from 4 exons. NCBI's taxonomy places the organism in Eukaryota, Viridiplantae, Streptophyta, Magnoliopsida, Zingiberales, Musaceae. The record is from RefSeq and is a predicted model, not a curated record.